Molecule: ribosomal RNA, 380 nt
Filed under: uncultured bacterium
Lineage: Bacteria
Description: bacterial SSU rRNA
Rfam family: Bacterial small subunit ribosomal RNA
Source: RNAcentral
GAUAAACGCUGGCGGCGUGCCUAAUACAUGCAAGUCGAGCGGUAACACUUCGGGUGACGAGCGGCGGACGGCAGAGUAACGCGUAGGAACGUACCCCAAACUGAGGGAUAGCCCACCGAAAGGUGGAUUAAUACCGCAUAUUAUUUACGAAUCAAAGCCUUCGGGCGGUUUGGGAGCGGCCUGCGUAUGAUUAGCUUGUUGGUGAGGUAAUGGCUCACCAAGGCGACGAUCAUUAGCNGGUCUGAGAGGAUGAUCAGCCUGACUGGAACUGAGAACGGUCCAGACUCCUACGGGAGGCAGCAGUAGGGAAUUUUCCGCAAUGGGCGAAAGCCUGACGGAGCAACGCCGCGUGCAGGAGGAAGGCCUUCGGUCGUAAACUG